CUCUUCUAAUUCGUUCCAAUAUCAAAAAAAUAAAAAUAGAAGACUUAUGUUUUCUCAACAAUAUUUUUAUCCAAAUUCUUGACCAAUCUCAACCUCGAAUGAGAAUAUCUUUACAAAGUUUCUUAACAAACUCCUUCUAACAAUCGAAUAAAAACUUUCAAAUCAACGUGAAUAUUAUACUUUGUGAUAUAAGUAUAAUAUGAAUAGUAUACUUUGUGUAUACUGUGUUCGAAAUAUAGUAUCUUACAGUAUAAUAUAUAUACGUGUAUUACAAAGUAUUGAAGGAUCAGGAACGAAUUAGCGAGAUCCGUUGCCGUCGAGCGAGGCGAAUAAUAUCGAGUUUCUUUUUUUCGCAGAUGUCGAUCAUCGAGCCGUGAUAUCUCGUGCAGGUGCAUCCGAUUCGAGCGCGACACCUGUAGCGAAGACUCCCCCUUUGCUUAUCGAAUUAUUGCACCGCCGCAGAAGGAUCGUUUUUUUUUCGCAAGGAAGCGAGUCAACCCUUUUUGCGGACUUUUCGCCCGUGUCCCCCUUCUUUCUUUUCCUUUUUUUCGGGUAUCGUAUCGAGUUUUUGCGCAGCCACGCUUUUAAUUUCGAUCAACGUUUUCAACGUUCCAGGCUCGUUUCGAGGCCGUUCGUUCGUUCGUUGCGUCUCCAAAUGUGAAUGUAAAAUGUGAGUGUUUUGCGCGAAGGGAAAUGGAGAUGAUCGAGCUCGUUCGUUUCGACACGCAAGAUUCUCUUGGGUUUUAGGGAUCAGAGAGAAUGAAAAUGGAAAUUGUAUUAAUUAGAGCGUAUCACGAAUGAUCGAUCGACUCGCGAUUAUUUUUCUUAAUAAGAGAAGAAUGUUCGAAUGGAUAUCAUUGUGUAAUUCACUCGAUGAAUUGUAUUAAGAGAAAGAAUAUGAGAAGCUAUAAACAGAAAUGCUUCAAUAUUAAUUUGAAGCAAUUAAUACGUGUGAUGGUUGUUGAGGAAAUGAAUCAAAAAUCGAGUAUGAAAGUGUAUAAGAAUACGAUAAAAUUGAAAGGAUUUUAUUAAUCCAUAUUUAAUGUAUGGAUAAUUCAAUGAAUUUUAAUUUUGAAAAAUGAUACGAGACAAAAAUCACUCUUUAUUUCUGAAGAAAUUCUGAAGAAAACGUAUGAGAAUAAAAUUAAAAAUUUAUUAUUAAUUAGAAUGCAUUGAUAAUUCAAUGAAUUUUAGUUUUAAGACACGAGUCAAAAAUUACUCUUUAUUUUUGAAUUGAUAAUUCAAUGAAUUUUAGUUUUGAGAAAUGACACGAGUCAAAGAUCACUCUUUAUUUCAGAAGAAAUUCUACAAAAAUCUCGUAUGAGAACAAAAAUUUAUUAAUUAGAAUGCAUUGGAUUGAUAAUUCAAUGAAUUUUAGUUUCGAGAAACGAUAUGAGUUGAAAGUCACUCGAAGAAAGAAGAAACUCUACGAAAAGAAAAUUAAAAGUUUAUUAUUAAUUAGAAUGGAUAAUUCAAUGAAUUUUAUUUUGAGAAAUGAUACGACUCAAAAACCACUUUUUUAGAAGAAACUUUACUUUAAUUCGAAUCUCUACAAAAACGUAAGAACAAAAUUAAGAGGAUUCUAUUAAUCCAUCGGAAUGCAACGAUUAUUCGGUGAAUUUUGAUUUUGAGAAACGACACGAAUCAAAGAUCACUCUUUAUUUUUAAAGAAACUCUACAAAAACAUAUGAAAAUAAAAUUAAAAAUUUAUUAUUAAUUAGAAUGCAUUGAUAAUUCAAUGAAUUUUUUGAAAGUCAUUCGAAGAAAGAAGAAACUCUACGAAAAGAAAAUUAAAAUUUUAUUAUUAAUCCAUUAGAAUGAAUAAUUCAAUGAAUUUUGAAUCAAAAUUCCUUGGAAAUUCUACAAAAACAACAAAAUUAAAGUACUAAUCUACAAGAAUGCAUAUUCUUGUAUGAUUGAAUAAACUUUCGAGUUACAUCACUGCAUCGUGCAGGUACAUGCGAAAAUUUAUAUUAUAUCUUUUAGAGAAGGAUAAAAGAUUGGAGAAAAAAAUAAAAAUUGGAUAAAAUUGUAAAAUUUUCUACAACUAAAUAUUCCAAACGAAAGAGAGAGAGAGAAAAAAAGGAAAGAAGCUCGGAGGAGGAUCGAAGGUUCAAGGUUCUGUCGCGAGUAACGACAGUUAUGACGAGGAUCAUGCGAAAUCCUGCGCAGGAGCUUUGCAACUCGGCCCAUUGUCUCAGCGGCCAUUGUCGGGGAUGUGGGCGCCCCUCCCCCACCUUUGCCCCGGUUAAAAACUGAAGGAUCACGAUCCCCCGCUGCUAGGGAUCGUCCUUAAUCCGUGGCCAACAAAAAGAGUUAGGGCGCCGAUAUAACGAGAGCCGCGAGUAAUGCGAGCGGAUUGUUGUUGCAUCCCGCCACGAACAAUGCCUUAAUGCGUUAAGCUCUGUAAAUAUCGAUGCCUUCGACCGACACCCAACGCUUGCUCGCUUUCCACGCAAAGUGGAAAAUUCGGUCGAGGCGGAUACAAUUGGCCUAUUCUUAGGCGUCCUCUCCUGAUUAGCAUUAGUCUUAAAUUUGUGCAACGUCUCUUUCUCUUUUCAAGGCUUAUUCUUUUCCGAACCUCUUAUUGUAGACGUUGAAGAGCGAGGAAGAAAGAGAGUAAAAUAAACUGCAAAAUAACUGUUUAAAUAAUGGAAUAUUGUAUAAUAAUAUUACAAAUUUGAACUUCCUUCCUCUUCAUAGCCACCAUUCUCUUCUUAAACCCUUUUUCGAACCGAUUCUAUAUUAUACUUUUCUUUCUUUCAUCCUUAGAAGAAGAAAGAAAGUAAAAUAAACUGCAACGUUUAAAUAAUGGAAUAUUGUAUAAUAAUAUUACAAAUUUAUAAAUUGAAAAUUUAUAAUUGUAAUCGGAUAGAGAACGAACAGUUUCUUUCUCUUAUACCCUUUCUCGAAUCAAUUCUACAUACUUUUCUUCUCUUCAUCCCCAGAAGAAGAAAGAAAGUAAAAUAAACUGCAACGUUUAAAUAAUGGAA
Apis mellifera (honey bee) is the source of this 2993-nucleotide long non-coding RNA. RefSeq lists it as uncharacterized. The transcript has 2 exons. The record is from RefSeq and is a predicted model, not a curated record. Lineage: Eukaryota; Metazoa; Arthropoda; Insecta; Hymenoptera; Apidae.